CGUGUAGGCGGUCGGCCAAAGUCUGAUGUGAAAGCCCGGGGGCUCAGCCCCGGAAGUGCGUCGGAAGCUAGUCGGCUGGAGCGCGAUAGAGGAGGGUGGAAUUCCUGGUGUAGCGGUGAAAUGCGUAGAUAUCAGGAGGAACACCGGCGGCGAAGGCGGCCCUCUGGAUCGUUGCUGACGCUGAGACGCGAAAGCGUGGGGAGCAAACAGGAUUAGAUACCCUGGUAGUCCACGCUGUAAACUAUGGGUACUAGGUGUUUGGGGUAUUGACCCCCCUGAGUGCCGCAGUUAACGCAUUAAGUACCCCGCCUGGGGACUACGGCCGCAAGGUUAAA
This 335-nucleotide ribosomal RNA is filed under the name uncultured bacterium. RNAcentral's name for it is "bacterial SSU rRNA". It matches the Rfam family "Bacterial small subunit ribosomal RNA", at positions 568 to 898 of the family's 1533-position model. The record is from RNAcentral.